UACAGAGGUCCCAAGCGUUGUUCGGAUUCACUGGGCGUAAAGGGUGCGUAGGCGGCGCGGUAAGUCGGGUGUGAAAUCUCGGAGCUUAACUCCGAAACUGCAUUCGAUACUGCCGUGCUUGAGGACUGGAGAGGAGACUGGAAUUUACGGUGUAGCGGUGAAAUGCGUAGAUAUCGUAAGGAAGACCAGUGGCGAAGGCGGGUCUCUGGACAGUUCCUGACACUGAGGCACGAAGGUCAGGGGAGCAAACGGG
Molecule: ribosomal RNA, 253 nt
Filed under: uncultured bacterium
Lineage: Bacteria
Description: partial 16S ribosomal RNA
Rfam family: Bacterial small subunit ribosomal RNA
Source: RNAcentral